This 228-nucleotide long non-coding RNA is filed under the name Gossypium barbadense (sea-island cotton). RNAcentral describes it as "long non-coding RNA (GBAR_LNC005536)". The record is from RNAcentral. Lineage: Eukaryota; Viridiplantae; Streptophyta; Magnoliopsida; Malvales; Malvaceae.
CGUGGACUAAUUUGUAAUUUUUUUUAAAGGUUUAAGGUUAUGCCAUGAAUUCUCUUGCUUGAUUCUUGAUGUUUUAUGAAAGAUUAUGAGUCAUUGCUGAUAAAUAAAUAAGUUUUUUAAAGUGAUUUUUGAUGAAAUUGUUAUCUAAGGAUUUAUUUAUGAAAGUAGUAAAAUUCCAUGGUAAAAUUGUGAAAUGUUCCUAGUGAAUUCGGUUAGAAUGAAAUGUGG